CUAGAGUAAUGGAGGGGCAUCUGGAAUUCACGGUGUAGCAGUGAAAUGCGUAGAUAUCGUGAGGAACACUAGUGGCGAAGGCGAGAUGCUGGACAUUUACUGACGCUGAGGUACGAAGGCCAGGGUAGCGAAAAGGAUUAGAUACCCUUGUAGUCCUGGCAGUAAACGGUGCUCGCUUGGUGUGGGAAGGUUCGACCCUUUCCGUGCCGGAGCUAGCGCGUUAAGCGAGCCGCCUGGGGAGUACGGCCGCAAGGCUAAAACUCAAAGAAAUUGACGGGGACCCGCACAAGCGGUGGAGUAUGUGGCUUAAUUCGAUGCAACGCGGAGAACCUUACCUGGGCUUGACAUGCUUAUCAUAUCCCCAUGAAAGUGGGGAGUCAGUUCGGCUGGAUUUGCACAGGUGCUGCAUGGCUGUCGUCAGCUCCUGUCGUGAGAUGGUUGGGUUAAGUCCCGCAACGAGCGCAACCCUUG
Molecule: ribosomal RNA, 471 nt
Filed under: uncultured bacterium
Lineage: Bacteria
Description: bacterial SSU rRNA
Rfam family: Bacterial small subunit ribosomal RNA
Source: RNAcentral